This 103-nucleotide small nucleolar RNA is filed under the name Catagonus wagneri (Chacoan peccary). RNAcentral's name for it is "Small nucleolar RNA U13 (ENSCWAG00000013877.1)". It matches the Rfam family "Small nucleolar RNA U13". The record is from Rfam by way of RNAcentral. Lineage: Eukaryota; Metazoa; Chordata; Mammalia; Artiodactyla; Tayassuidae.
AUCCUUUUCUGGUUCAUAAGCAUGAUAAUUGGGUUGUCACGCUAUUGUGUAAGAUAUGCCUCCCUUAAACUUUGUCAUGAUGUCAGCACAUUAACCCCUGACA